RNAcentral lists this ribosomal RNA (508 nucleotides) under uncultured bacterium. Its description in RNAcentral is "bacterial SSU rRNA". It matches the Rfam family "Bacterial small subunit ribosomal RNA", at positions 23 to 518 of the family's 1533-position model. The record is from RNAcentral.
CUCAGGAUGAACGCUAGCGACAGGCUUAACACAUGCAAGUCGAGGGGCAUCACGGGAGUAGCAAUACAACUGGUGGCGACCGGCGCACGGGUGAGUAACGCGUAUGCAACCUACCUAUCAGAGGGGAAUAACCCGGCGAAAGUCGGACUAAUACCGCAUAAAACAGGGGCACCGCAUGGUGAUAUUUGUUAAAGAAAUUCGCUGAUAGAUGGGCAUGCGUUCCAUUAGGCAGUUGGUGAGGUAACGGCUCACCAAGCCGACGAUGGAUAGGGGAACUGAGAGGUUGGUCCCCCACACUGGUACUGAGACACGGACCAGACUCCUACGGGAGGCAGCAGUGAGGAAUAUUGGUCAAUGGGCGGGAGCCUGAACCAGCCAAGUCGCGUGGAAAAGGAAGAAGGAUCUAUGGUUACGUAAACUUCUUUUGCAGGGGAAUAAAGUGCAGGACGUGUCCUGUUUUGUAUGUACCCUGAGAAUAAGGAUCGGCUAACUCCGUGCCAGCCGCAGC